AUCGCUUCUCAGCCUUUUGGCUAAGAUCAAGUGUAAAAACCAUUGCAAACUUUUAAUAAGCUUGCUUUUUUAAUUGUCAUUCAUUUUCCUUUAGUGAAUGAAACUUCCCCAAAGCCAACACGUUUUCUUCUUCCUUCCCCAUCUUUCUUCUGUUUUAUGGGAAAGAAACCAC
Molecule: small nuclear RNA, 172 nt
Filed under: Panthera leo (lion)
Lineage: Eukaryota; Metazoa; Chordata; Mammalia; Carnivora; Felidae
Description: U2 spliceosomal RNA (ENSPLOG00000011371.1)
Rfam family: U2 spliceosomal RNA
About the family: U2 is a small nuclear RNA (snRNA) component of the spliceosome (involved in pre-mRNA splicing).
Source: Rfam by way of RNAcentral